This 253-nucleotide ribosomal RNA is filed under the name uncultured bacterium. RNAcentral describes it as "partial 16S ribosomal RNA". It matches the Rfam family "Bacterial small subunit ribosomal RNA", at positions 524 to 776 of the family's 1533-position model. The record is from RNAcentral.
UACGGAGGGUGCGAGCGUUGUUCGGAAUUACUGGGCGUAAAGCGCGUGCAGGCGGCCGACUAAGUCCGGUGUGAAAGCUCGGGGCUCACCCCCGGAAGUGCGCUGGAAACUGGUUGGCUAGAGUACGGGAGAGGAGACUGGAAUUCCUGGUGUAGCGGUGGAAUGCGCAGAUAUCAGGAGGAACACCGAUGGCGAAGGCAGGUCUCUGGGCAGUAACUGACGCUGAGGAGCGAAAGCAUGGGUAGCGAACAGG